This 475-nucleotide ribosomal RNA is filed under the name uncultured organism. Its description in RNAcentral is "partial 16S ribosomal RNA". It matches the Rfam family "Bacterial small subunit ribosomal RNA", at positions 330 to 797 of the family's 1533-position model. The record is from RNAcentral.
CGUACACUCCUGCGGGAGGCAGCAGUGGGGAAUAUUGCACAAUGGGCGCAAGCCUGAUGCAGCCAUGCCGCGUGUAUGAAGAAGGCCUUCGGGUUGUAAAGUACUUUCAGCGGGGAGGAAGGCAAUACGGUUAAUAACCGUGUUGAUUGACGUUACCCGCAGAAGAAGCACCGGCUAACUCCGUGCCAGCAGCCGCGGUAAUACGGAGGGUGCAAGCGUUAAUAGGAAUUACUGGGCGUAAAGCGCACGCAGGCGGUCUGUCAAGUCGGAUGUGAAAUCCCCGGGCUCAACCUGGGAACUGCAUUCGAAACUGGCAGGCUUGAGUCUUGUAGAGGGGGGUAGAAUUCCAGGUGUAGCGGUGAAAUGCGUAGAGAUCUGGAGGAAUACCGGUGGCGAAGGCGGCCCCCUGGACAAAGACUGACGCUCAGGUGCGAAAGCGUGGGGAGCAAACAGGAUUAGAAACCCGAGUAGUCCC